Molecule: ribosomal RNA, 225 nt
Filed under: uncultured bacterium
Lineage: Bacteria
Description: partial 16S ribosomal RNA
Rfam family: Bacterial small subunit ribosomal RNA
Source: RNAcentral
UACGGAGGGUGCGAGCGUUAAUCGGAAUUACUGGGCGUAAAGCGCACGCAGGCGGUUUGUUAAGCAAGAUGUGAAAGCCCCGGGCUCAACCUGGGAACUGCAUUUUGAACUGGCAGACUAGAGUCUUGGAGAGGGGGGUGGAAUUCCAGGUGUAGCGGUGAAAUGCGUAGAGAUCUGGAGGAACAUCGAGCGGAGCGGACCGACGCCCUGGCCGAAACUGUCGAC